GAUUGCAUCUCACCUGAAAUGAAUCUUGGGUUGACUUGCCAUUUAUGAGAAAAGCUUUGAUUUUAAUGAAGUUUGAAAUCUACUGAGGCUCCCAGGCACAGGAGGUAGCCACUCGCAAAUGUUCUGAUCCUUCUGGAAAAGAAAUAACAGUUGCUUCACUGUCAUUGCAGUCAAGUUUUUCCUCUAUCCCUCGACUUAAAAAAAAAAAAAAAAAA
RNAcentral lists this unclassified non-coding RNA (215 nucleotides) under Hevea brasiliensis (rubber tree). Lineage: Eukaryota; Viridiplantae; Streptophyta; Magnoliopsida; Malpighiales; Euphorbiaceae. The record is from RNAcentral.